Molecule: ribosomal RNA, 1342 nt
Filed under: bacterium NLAE-zl-G60
Lineage: Bacteria
Description: 16S ribosomal RNA
Rfam family: Bacterial small subunit ribosomal RNA
Source: RNAcentral
GAGUAACACGCUAUCCAACCUGCCGAUAACUCGGGGAUNNCCUUUCGAAAGAAAGAUUAAUAUCCGAUAGUAUAUUAAAACCGCAUGGUUUUACUAUUAAAGAAUUUCGGUUAUCGAUGGGGAUGCGUUCCAUUAGUUUGUUGGCGGGGUAACGGCCCACCAAGACUACGAUGGAUAGGGGUUCUGAGAGGAAGGUCCCCCACAUUGGAACUGAGACACGGUCCAAACUCAUACGGGAGGCAGCAGUGAGGAAUAUUGGUCAAUGGACGAGAGUCUGAACCAGCCAAGUAGCGUGAAGGAUGACUGCCCUAUGGGUUGUAAACUUCUUUUAUAUGGGAAUAAAGUAUUCCACGUGUGGGAUUUUUGUAUGUACCAUUAUGAAUAAGGAUCGGCUAACUCCGUGCCAGCAGCCGCGGUAAUACGGAGGAUCCGAGCGUUAUCCGGAUUUAUUGGGUUUAAAGGGAGCGUAGGUGGAUUGUUAAGUCAGUUGUGAAAGUUUGCGGCUCAACCGUAAAAUUGCAGUUGAAACUGGCAGUCUUGAGUACAGUAGAGGUGGGCGGAAUUCGUGGUGUAGCGGUGAAAUGCUUAGAUAUCACGAAGAACUCCGAUUGCGAAGGCAGCUCACUAGACUGCAACUGACACUGAUGCUCGAAAGUGUGGGUAUCAAACAGGAUUAGAUACCCUGGUAGUCCACACAGUAAACGAUGAAUACUCGCUGUUUGCGAUAUACAGUAAGCGGCCAAGCGAAAGCAUUAAGUAUUCCACCUGGGGAGUACGCCGGCAACGGUGAAACUCAAAGGAAUUGACGGGGGCCCGCACAAGCGGAGGAACAUGUGGUUUAAUUCGAUGAUACGCGAGGAACCUUACCCGGGCUUAAAUUGCAUUUGAAUAAUCUGGAAACAGGUUAGCCGCAAAGGCAAAUGUGAAGGGGCUGCAUGGUUGUCGUCAGCUCGUGCCGUGAGGUGUCGGCUUAAGUGCCAUAACGAGCGCAACCCUUAUCUUUAGUUACUAACAGGUCAUGCUGAGGACUCUAGAGAGACUGCCGUCGUAAGAUGUGAGGAAGGUGGGGAUGACGUCAAAUCAGCACGGCCCUUACGUCCGGGGCUACACACGUGUUACAAUGGGGGGUACAGAAGGCAGCUACCUGGCGACAGGAUGCUAAUCCCAAAAACCUCUCUCAGUUCGGAUCGAAGUCUGCAACCCGACUUCGUGAAGCUGGAUUCGCUAGUAAUCGCGCAUCANACCAUGGCGCGGUGAAUACGUUCCCGGGCCUUGUACCCNNNAACCGUCAAGCCAUGAAAGCCGGGGGUACCUGAAGUACGUACCGCAAGGAGCUCCUAGG